Molecule: long non-coding RNA, 570 nt
Filed under: Olea europaea (common olive)
Lineage: Eukaryota; Viridiplantae; Streptophyta; Magnoliopsida; Lamiales; Oleaceae
Description: long non-coding RNA (OEUR_LNC001663)
Source: RNAcentral
UCUAUCUAAUCUUGAAAUGAAUCUUUAUAGCUUUUAAUAGGCAUGCUAAAUCCUCUGCAUUCCUACUUCUCUUUUCACUACAAUUAUAAUGAAUUCAAUCUGGUAAAAAAAUGAAAUAUCUGCUGUACUUUAUCCAUUCAAGAACUCAAUCCGAGUUCUAUGAAAAGCAACAGAUGCAAACAGCAUCGCUGAACUUGAAGCGACUACUCUUUGUUCUUGCCAUUAAGAUUGUGAGAAGAGAAGCUGAGAUUGCCAUUAAGAUUGCCAUUAAGACUGCCCAUGUGUGGGUGCCUGGGCGCCCACCAGUGCCCAAACCGGGCAGUAAGUUGGCGCCUAGGCACCCCGGCACAUAUAUAUAUUUCCGUUUUUCUGCCUCUUCCAUAUAACACAAGACCUAGGCCCGAUUUUUGAGAGAGAAAAGGGAGAAAGCUUGGAUAAUAUUUUACAAGAUUGAGAUUGUUCAUCUUGGGUAUAAAUUCAAAGUUAUUUUCUUUCUUGGGGAUUAACUUGAGGCUUGUUCAAGUAAUCCAAAUACAUUGUUCUCCAUUUAUCCAUUGAAAUCAUUUCUUC